RNAcentral lists this transfer RNA (76 nucleotides) under Gammaproteobacteria bacterium. RNAcentral's name for it is "tRNA-Thr". It matches the Rfam family "tRNA". Rfam says of the family: Transfer RNA (tRNA) molecules are approximately 80 nucleotides in length. Their secondary structure includes four short double-helical elements and three loops (D, anti-codon, and T loops). The record is from RNAcentral. Lineage: Bacteria; Pseudomonadati; Pseudomonadota; Gammaproteobacteria. RNAcentral also lists the same sequence under 5 other names.
GCCGGCGUAGCUCAGUUGGUAGAGCAACGCAUUCGUAAUGCGUGGGUCGGGGGUUCGACUCCCUCCGCCGGCACCA